CCUACGGGGGGCAGCAGUGAGGAAUAUUGGUCAAUGGCCGGAAGGCUGAACCAGCCAUGCCGCGUGAAGGUCAGUGCCCUAUGGGCGUUAAACUUCUUUUGUGCGGGAGCAAUAAUGGUCACGUGUGGCCAGACGAGAGUACCGUACGAAUAAGCAUCGGCUAACUCCGUCGCAGCAGCCGCGGUAAUACGGGGGAUGCAAGCGUUAUCCGGAUUUAUUGGGUUUAAAGGGUGCGUAGGCUGUGAGGUAAGUCAGCGGUGAAAUGCCCCGGCUCAACGGGGUGAAGUGCCAUUGAUACUGGCUGGCUGGAAUGCGGAUGCCGUGGGAGGAAUGUGUGGUGUAGCGGUGAAAUGCAUAGAUAUCACACAGAACACCGAUUGCGAAGGCAUCUCACGAGUCCGCGAUUGACGCUGAUGCACGAAAGCGUGGGUAUCAAACAGGAUUAGAUACCCGAGUAGUC
This 460-nucleotide ribosomal RNA is filed under the name uncultured bacterium. RNAcentral describes it as "partial 16S ribosomal RNA". It matches the Rfam family "Bacterial small subunit ribosomal RNA", at positions 338 to 795 of the family's 1533-position model. The record is from RNAcentral.